RNAcentral lists this ribosomal RNA (747 nucleotides) under uncultured Vibrio sp. RNAcentral describes it as "bacterial SSU rRNA". It matches the Rfam family "Bacterial small subunit ribosomal RNA", at positions 62 to 789 of the family's 1533-position model. Lineage: Bacteria; Pseudomonadati; Pseudomonadota; Gammaproteobacteria; Vibrionales; Vibrionaceae. The record is from RNAcentral.
UCGAGCGGAACGAGUUAUCUGAACCUUCGGGGGACGAUAACGGCGUCGAGCGGCGGACGGGUGAGUAAUGCCUAGGAAAUUGCCCUGAUGUGGGGGAUAACCAUUGGAAACGAUGGCUAAUACCGCAUAAUGCCUACGGGCCAAAGAGGGGGACCUUCGGGCCUCUCGCGUCAGGAUAUGCCUAGGUGGGAUUAGCUAGUUGGUGAGGUAAUGGCUCACCAAGGCGACGAUCCCUAGCUGGUCUGAGAGGAUGAUCAGCCACACUGGAACUGAGACACGGUCCAGACUCCUACGGGAGGCAGCAGUGGGGAAUAUUGCACAAUGGGCGCAAGCCUGAUGCAGCCAUGCCGCGUGUGUGAGGAAGGCCUUCGGGUUGUAAAGCACUUUCAGUCGUGAGGAAGGUGGUGUAGUUAAUAGCUGCAUUACUUGACGUUAGCGACAGAAGAAGCACCGGCUAACUCCGUGCCAGCAGCCGCGGUAAUACGGAGGGUGCGAGCGUUAAUCGGAAUUACUGGGCGUAAAGCGCAUGCAGGUGGUUUGUUAAGUCAGAUGUGAAAGCCCGGGGCUCAACCUCGGAAUAGCAUUUGAAACUGGCAGACUAGAGUACUGUAGAGGGGGGUAGAAUUUCAGGUGUAGCGGUGAAAUGCGUAGAGAUCUGAAGGAAUACCGGUGGCGAAGGCGGCCCCCUGGACAGAUACUGACACUCAGAUGCGAAAGCGUGGGGAGCAAACAGGAUUAGAUACCCUG